ACACCUCAACUCUCAUGGUUUGCCAUGAUGAGCUUGGACUUUGGGGGUCUUGCUGGCCAGCGGUCGGCUCCUCUCAAAUGAAUCAGCUUGCCAGUGUUUGGCGGCACCACAGGUGUGAUAACUAUCUACGCUUGUGGUUUCCUGCCAGGCAAUCCUUCAGCAAUGGAGGUUCACUGGAGCUCAUAAACGUCUCUCCAUAGCGAGGACAACUUCUUGAAU
RNAcentral lists this unclassified non-coding RNA (219 nucleotides) under uncultured Thelephoraceae. RNAcentral's name for it is "sequence contains ITS2". Lineage: Eukaryota; Fungi; Basidiomycota; Agaricomycetes; Thelephorales; Thelephoraceae. The record is from RNAcentral.